AUAAAACUGAUGCAAAAAAGCUAAAUGGGAUCACAAUAGACUGAAGGCAAGAGAAGAAAUUGAUCAGAGGGUUCGGUGUUAUAGUCACGAUCUUGAAAUCCCUCAGAGAUGGCACUUGCACUGGGAGAAACAGCUAUGAUGUCUUGAGCAGUCCCCUGGAGAGAGCCAAGUGGUGAAUUGCAACCUCCUGCCAGCACUGGGCACCAUCUAGGCAGCCAUGGGUGUAAGCUGUAUUGGAAGUGACUCUUCCAGGAAUUCACCAGUGUAGCAGAUUGGAUUCUCUGCAACAACUGCUGAGAUGGAAUUUGAGGAUGAAAGAUGGUUAUUAUGAAUUAACAUCUGUGGAGGGAGACACAGACAGGAUUCAACUCAACUCCAAGUUACUGUGGAGCAAGCAAUGCCCAUUAGGUUUCAGUUGUUUUCAACAGAAGGGCGGGUCCAAGACCAACUCCUCCAUCAGGCAGACCAGAAGAGUUUAAAAAUUUUGGAAGUACAAAAGGCAGCAAGAAACCCAGACCACAGCUUGGAAUGUUUGGCUGUAGACCCUUUCUCAGGUACUGGGGAUUGAACUUGGGACCUUGCACUUGCGUGGCAGGCAGCAGAACCACUGAGCUAAAUCUCCAGCCCAAUGUAACCCAGGCUGGAUUGAACUUUCAACUAUCCUCUUGCUUCAGUCUCCCAAAUGCUGGGAUUACUGGUCUUUGACGGUACUGCCACAUUCCAUAAUCAUAUCUGCAAAAAAGACACAAGUAAAUGGAUCCUGUAUGGAUCUUCAGUUUCAUAUGCUUCUGACAGGUCUCAUCUGAAGUUUGCAAUGAUCUGGAUUGAGAUCUAAUGAUUACUGACUGUUAUCUGAUCACUGUAACAAGGCUACUGAGCCAAGGAAAGUAUCCUUUGACAAGGAUUGGUCAAGAAAACAUCAACAAUGCAGACUGUUCCUAAUAAUAAAACUGUUAUCAUUCCUUGAGUGCUUAAUAUUGGCAGAUCCCACAUACCCAACGUCUGAUUUAAUACUUUCAACAAUUUUAUGAGCCUUGUAGGACAAUCUUUAUUUUACAGAUAGGAAAAUUUCAGUUCACAGAAGUUUGAUAAUUUGCUUAAGAUAUAGCUGAUGAGUGGUUUGUCCCAAGUUUUGAUACCAAACCACAUGCCCUUGUCAUGACACAAAGUUCCCAUUCUUUUUGAGUUCCUUCACAGCUUUAAAUGCUUUCAUAUUAUCACAAUUGGCAAAAUGUGAAGACAUUCUGAAAAAAAACCCCUGCCAUGGUAAGAGAUUUAGAAAACAGAGUAGAAAUCUUUAAGGAUCAGAUCUGAAGUCAGUAAAUUAAAUGAAAAUAGUAUGUAGAAGAAUCAACCUUGAGUAACUGUGAUGAAGUAAAUAUACCCCACCUAUCUCUGAUCACAACUAAAAAUUGACCAGAAUACAUAAAGCAACUACCUGAGAACUGAAGUAUAAACAGCAGUAGUCAUGUUGGGAAGGAAAAUGAAAUCAUAAACAGUGACUGAUACAGGGGUAGGUUUUCUUUUCUUUUUUUCUUUGUUUGAAGUCCACCAUACCUUUUGAUUUAUACUUGAGAGCAGCCUAAAUGCUGGAAUUCUGCAAUGGCCAUGGAAAGAAGAAAGCUCCAAUGAAAACCUUCACUUUUUAGAGAGAAGAAAAAAAGCAGGAAGUAGGUUCUUUGUAGGACAAAAUGUGUAAUAAAAAUGCCUCCUCUCUUAAUUUUCUCUCUUUUUACUCUUGCAGUUCUGCUCUGUACUUCUGAAAUAGCAGCAGUGGUUGCACAGAGAUCUCACUCUUUGAAGAAAGUCCUCCUUUUGGACCAGUGGACCCUGUGGUGCUGCCUUGCUCUUAUGGACCCUGUGUUGCUGCUUUGCUCUUAAGAUCAAUUCAAUCCCUGAAGUAUGUAACAGUGCAGAGAGGAUAAAAUCCCAAUUUUUCAGCUACAGAACCAGGAUAGAAGACUCUUGGGAGUUGGAAAGUAUGAGAAAGGGGAUAUCACAGAGAGCCCCUAAAACUGAAUUUAAACAGGACCCUGACACUCAAAAAAAAAAAAUGUUCUCAAUGUCCAUAAUAUAAUUCAAGAUCAUGGAACAUACAGAGAAUCUGGAAAAAUCUCAAUAAUUCUCAUGGGAAAAUGACAACUAGCAGAUUUUAACCCUAAAAUAAUCUGGAUGUUAGAAUUAACAAGGUCUUUAAAGCAGUUAUUAACUAUGGUUCAUUAAGUAAGGGCAAAUGCUAUUGAAGUGAAGGAAAAGAUAGGAGUUUUCAUCAAAUUCAUAAAAAUUAUAAGAAGAAACAAACAUUUUAUGAUAAAUGAAAUAAUAUUAUGUUAAUAGAAAUAAAAAUCCCCCUGUACUGGUUUAUUAGAAGUGUGGAGAUAGAGUAGUGAAGGAACUUGAAAAUAAAAUUAUCCAGAGAAAAUUUUAAAAUAUUUUGAAUAUAUCAAAAAUUAUAAGCUGCUACAAAGGUAGCACUUAUAAAAACACUA
Heterocephalus glaber (naked mole-rat) is the source of this 2489-nucleotide long non-coding RNA. RefSeq lists it as uncharacterized. The record is from RefSeq and is a predicted model, not a curated record. Lineage: Eukaryota; Metazoa; Chordata; Mammalia; Rodentia; Bathyergidae.